This 278-nucleotide ribosomal RNA is filed under the name uncultured soil bacterium. RNAcentral's name for it is "partial 16S ribosomal RNA". It matches the Rfam family "Bacterial small subunit ribosomal RNA", at positions 26 to 293 of the family's 1533-position model. The record is from RNAcentral.
AGGACGAACGCUGGCGGCGUGCUUAACACAUGCAAGUCGAACGGUGAAGCCCUUCGGGGUGGAUCAGUGGCGAACGGGUGAGUAACACGUGAGCAAUCUGCCCUUGACUCUGGGAUAACUUCGGGAAACCGGAGCUAAUACCGGAUACGACGCACGGAGGCAUCUCCUGUGUGUGGAAAGAUUUUAUCGGGUCGAGGAUGAGCUCGGCGGCCUAUCGAGCUUAGGUUGGUAGGAAGGUAAGUGGCUCAACCGAAGGCGACGGACGGGUACGCCCGGCC